GUCUUUCUCAGAAACCCAAAAGAAGGGGAGCAGAGUAUCUUCGCCAGCUGAAGUUAGAAGUCUUAGAACAUUUUCUCAUAAACACAAUAUUGCACACUUUUUAAAGGGGUAUAAAAUACAGUAUUCAUCACACAGGCAUUUACUGUGUACCUACAAUGUGCCAGGUAUUUAAUUCAGGUAGAUCAUGGGUCAAAUCACACCUUUGUUAGGCGGCUGGAGAAUCAUAACUUCCCAAGAAAAUAUUUAGCAUACAUAGCAUACAUAGUCUUCGUUGGGUUAGCAACUGGCUAGAUUCGUGACACAUUGUUACAAAAAAAUAGUUGUAUAAGGAAGUAUUUCAUGAAGGUGACACAUCUAUUUUUUAAAAAGGGAGAAACAGCUAAGAGCUAUUUUUCCCCACACAUUAUGCUUUGUGAAUAGGGAACAACGGUGGAUACACAGAGUAGGUUGGACAAACAUUUUUGAGGGACUGACACAUUAUCUCACAUGCUUGAUGCCUCAUGGGGUUUUCCCUCAACAUUCCAAUUGGUCUAAGUCAAAGCACAAUUAGAAUAGAGCAGGAAGUAUUCUGGAGCUAUUUUAAUCUCCACUUACUUCUGCCUUGUGGAAGGGGUGGGAAAGCCUUUAUCGAUGGGUAGGUGGGAGAACCAGGGGAAGACUGUCAGCUACGAUUUUCUCUAGGCUCAAGAAGACUGAGACCGAGCCAAACUCCUGGCCAACAUGCUUUGUGGAUUCACAGUGUAGCUUGAGAAAAAUGGUUUCCUUCCAAAUUCUCUACCCCCACACCUUAAGAGAUUCUGAUACAUCAUAAAUAGAGGGACAUACAUCUUUACAUGAAAACGACAUGGAAGAUUUUCUGAGGGACAUGUGAAUGGUGAAUUUGCAUGAUGUGGAGAACCAAAAUGGCUGAGGACUGCUGCUCAGUGCCCCAGCUCUGUUCACUCGCCUAGAGUUUCCUGAACAAGCCCUGCUGCUUCUGUCUUCUGAGCUCUGACCCACCAAGCCAUUUCCUCUACUUGGAGUGCUUUCCUUCCCUUUCUGCUUUUCCCUUCUCAAAACCAAGCUAAAAUAUUGCCUGCUCUAUGAAACUUAUCCUAUCACCCUGUUCAGAUGCACAUGUCUUUCUUCUGUACUUUUGUGACACCACAUGCAGAUCUGUUCAUCACAUUUUCUAGUAUUCAUUUGUUUAAAAAUAUGAAUUGAGAUACCACUAAAUGUCAGAUGCUAUAUUAAGUGCUAACUACAGUCUUGGUGAACAAAAAGGUAAAAUUUUCCUGCUCUUGUGGGGCCUGCAUUCUUAUGGAGGAGAUGGAAUAUAUUUUUUAAAACAUAAAAUUUAAAUUUAUUUUGAGGUGAUUUUGAUCAGCACCUCAAAGAAGCAAGAGAGUGAACAGCAGUAAUAUCUGAGGGACAAGCAUUCUAAGUAUAGGGAACAGCAUAUUUAAAAGUCCUGGACUCACUCAGUGUAUUUUAGGAAAAAAAAAAAAAAGAAAGAAAAGUGGCUCACAAGGUUGAGACCAACAGAAGUGCAGCAAGAAAUGCGACCAGGAAGACACCAAGAUGCCAUAUUAUAAAGUCCUGAGGCCACUGUAAGAUCUUUGGAUUUUAAUCUAAGUGUGUAGAAUAACAUGAUCUUAUUUAUGUAGUAAAAUACUAAGAGGCAACCUUCUGGCUGCUCUGUAAGAAGGGAUUGUAGGACCCAAAGUGGAAGCAGGAUGGUCAGCUAGAGGCUGUCAUGGUGAUUUAGUUAAUUGAUGUUGCUGGCUUGGAUCUAGGAGACAACACUGGAGGUGGGGAGAAGUUAUCAGAUUUGAAGGAUAUUUUGAAGGUAGAGUUGAUAAGAUCUGAUAGAUUUGGCAUAGGUUAAGGAAAGCUAAGCAUCAAGGACAACUCUUUAGGUUUUGGGCUUCAAUAAUUGGAUGGAUUUUGGUGGCACUUUGGUGAAUGCUGGGUGAAGGACAUGUUUAAGAAUGAAAACAUGUUAAUAGAUUCUGGCUGUAUUAUUAGGUGUGAGAUGCCAACCAGGCAUCAAUGUGGAGAUGUUGAAGGGACAGUGUUUAGGAAAAGGGUCAGAACAGAGAUGUGUAUUUGGGCAUCAUCCUCAUAUAGAUAGCACUUAAAAUUAUGGUGCUGACAUUCCUACCAGGGCUGUGAGCAUAGUCUGUUGAAGAUACCAGUUCUGAGGUCUGAACUCUGGGACACUCCACCAUUUAGGGAGCAGAAAGAGAGUCUAACAACAACAACAGAAAUGAGUAGGAGUGGUUAAUGAAUUAAGAGAACAGGAGGAUGUGGAUUAUUAGAAACUAAGGAAAGACAGUAUUUCAGGAAGGGGGAGCUGAUCAUCUAGGUCAAAUACAUAAAGAAUUUACCACUGGGUUUGCAUUGUGGAGGUCAUUGCCAAAUGGCUACCUUUAUCAGAGCCAUGAUGCUAUUCCUUGGCAAAUGUUGAUUUACUUAUCUGUUUCUUCCAGAAAACCUGUGAACCUCACAUAGGAGUGAUUUUGCCCUCCAGGAAACCUUUGGCAAUAUCUGGAGACAUUUUUUGUUGUCAAAACUGAGUGGGGGUGGAGUGAUGCUACUGGCAUCUAAUAGAUGGAGGAACAGGACACUGCUGAACAUCCUGCAAUGCACAGAGCAGCUCCCCCGACAACAAAAAAAAUGAUCUGGCUCCAAACGUCAAUGGUUCCAAAGUUGAGAAAUCCUGCACUAAACUUAUAGUUCCCAAAGUGUGUGCUUAGACACCCCAGGGGGGACAUAGGAGUGCUGUAGGAUAUUUUAAAGUGUGAAUGGAAACACAAUGGCAUCUGUCAAGCACUAAAUAAACUAGUAACUCAAAAUAGUUCACGGUUUCAACAUUAGCUUUCUUUUUUUUUAAAUAAUGUAUCUUUGUAAAACUUGGUUUUGGAAGUUGCUGUGAUAAGAAUCAAAUACUUGGUGAAUAUCAUUGUGGAAUAAGAAGUGAGAAUGGCAGUUUCCAAUCUGACUUCAAGGUUUGUGAAGUUGGAUAGUGACCAGAAGGUGUUGAGUUUUUAGGAUGUAAAUAGUUAUUAAAUUGUUUGGACUUGACAACUCAAGAAACUCAAUUAUUAGGUAUAUUUUUUAGCCUAGGGGGUGUAGUAAAAAAUUAUGGAUAUGCCACGGGCACCAUAAAGCAGAAGGCUUGGAACUGCUGGGCUUGACUUUAAGUUCCUUGGGAAUAGGCAUUGUGUAUUAGUACUUUAUAUCUGCAGCACCCAGAACAGUGCCUGCUAAAAGUGUGAGGUGCGAGAAUGCUAAACAGAUAUCCAUAAGGAGAUUGAGGGAAAUUUAAUAAAUUUAAGAAAUAAAAUGGCAGGUAUGAAAUGAAUGAAAGGGCACAUGUGCACUGUAGUGUCAAGAGAAUUAUAUGUUAAGUGGCAAAAUUCUACCUACUGGUUCACUAUGCACUACAACAUCCCUAAAUACCUCCCUACUUAUAUAGGAUAAAAUAAGAGAGGGGAAAAGAAUAAAGCUUGACUUUCUUACUCUUUGGCCUGUGAAUCUCUAGACUAAAAUUUCUUGAGUUUAGUGCAAGUUUACUUCCUCAGAUUACAUUAUUUUUUCCCAAUACAAAUUUCUAUUCUCACUUAUAUUAUGCAUAUUGACAAAACUGUGAUCUUAUUCUGCAGGAAUAUGUGAACGGGAGUAAUUUGAAUAUCUCCUAAAUUUUUGGCUGCUUUUCUUCCUGCCCCUUUUGCCAAGCACUACAUGCCCUAGCCUAAUGAUUGCAUAGAUGUUGGAAAGAGAUGUUCUUUUUAGAGUUAGUGAUUCUAUUUUGUUUUUGAAAAAAAUCUUUUAAGUGUAAGAAUAUGAUUUCAGAAUAUAAACUUGUGGAAAUAUUCUUGGUAUAGUGGCAAGAAGUCAGCUUUUUAGAAUGGGAUAUAUAGUCCCAUGCAUCUCACUCUCACUGGGUAACAUCUGGAACAAGGCAUAAAGUUUCUUUGACUCUUAGAUUUGUCACCUGUAAACUCGGAAUAUGAACUCUCAAAGUUCUUAUGAGGAUUAGACUAGUUAGCUGAUGACAAGUACCUAUCACAGUGCUUGACACAAGGAGAUACUCAAUAAAUUAUAGCUUCUCCUUCUAUUUCAACCUGACCUAUCCUGACACCUUCCUUCUCCUUUUUCUCAUUCUCUUAGUCUUUUGUUUGACUUUAACACCUAGGAUGAAGCUUAUAGAACUUAUUACCAUUUUAAAACAGGCAAGUUGUUUGCUUUGUUGGUAUUUUGUGUUGUAUAGUGAUGGGGUGGUAUUUUCCCUAUUAAUAAUGUAGUGCAUCAACAAAUGUUAAUAUAUCCAUAGAAACUUCUCCAGCAGGGACAGAGUUGGAGAAUCGCUGAGUCACCAGUCUCCCCUCACCUGAGAGUGUUCACAGUGAAACUUCUCUCCAUUGUGUGUUUUGUGGCCUUGCUUAUUUGCAAUGGUCUGUCCGGAAGAAUUUGAGAUUAGAGACCCCAUGGAUAAUCAUAUUCCAAGGUAACCAGUAAAACUAAAUUUCUGUAAUAGUUAUAACUUCUACUAAAUCUUUUUGCUAGAGCAGCUAAAAUGCAGUCUGCCUGUGAAAUCUGGCUGACUUACCUUAUUCAGCAUAUAAAAGUUACGUUUACUCUAUAGUGUAGUCAUUUAAGUAUGUAACAGCAUUAGCCUAAAAACUAUACACACUUUAAUUAAAAAUUACUUUAUUGCUCAAAAAUGCUAAUGAUCAUCUUCACUGAGUCAUAACCUUUUUUGUUGGCGGAGGGUCUUGCCUCAAUGUCGAUGGCUGCUGACCAGUCAGGGUGGUGGUUGCUGAAGGAUAGGGUGACUGUGACACUUUCUUUUUUUUUCUUUGAGACGGAGUCUUGCUCUGUUGCCCAGGCUGGAGUGCAGUGGAACGAUCGCCGCUCACUGCAAGCUCCGCCUCCCGGGUUCAGGCCAUUCUCCUGCCUCAGCCUCCCGAGUAGCUGGGACUACAGGCGCCUGCAACCCCGCCUGGCUAAUCUUUUGUAUUUUUAGUGGAGAUGGGGUUUCACCGUGUUAGCCAGGACAGUCUUGAUCUCCUGACCUCGUAAUCUGCCCGCCUCGGCCUCCCAAAGUGCUGGGAUUACAGGCGUGAGCCACCAUGACCGGCCGACUGUGGCACUUUCUUAAAAUAAGACAACAAUGAAGUUGGCUGCAUCGAUUGACUUUUCCUUUCAUGAAAGAUUUGUCUACAGCAAGUGGUGCUGUUGUGGUUUGAUAGCAUUUGACCUACACUAGAACUUCUUUCAAAAUUGAAGUCAAUGCUUCUCAAACCCUGCUGCUGCUUUAUCAGCUAAGUUUAUGUAAUAUUCUGAAUCCUUUGUCAUCAUUUCAUGUUCACAGCAUCUUCACCAGGAGUAGAUUCCAUUUCAAGAAACCCCUUCCUUCCUUCCCUCCCUCCUUCCUUCCUUCCUUCCUUCCUUCCUUCCUCCUUCCUUCCUUCCCUCCCUCCGUCCCUCCCUCCCUCCCUCUCUCCCUCCCUCCCUCUCUCCCUCUCUCUCUCUCUCCCUCUCUCUCUCUCUCUCCCUCUCUCUCUCUCUCCCUCUCUCCCUCCCUCCCUCCAUUUGCAUUCACAGUUUUGUGGUUUGGUUCAAGAGGCCUUGCUCUCCACCUGUCUUGGCUUCCAACAUGCCUUCCUCACUCAGCUUAAUCAUUUCUAGCUCUUGAUUGAAAGAGAGAUGUGCAACUCUUUCUCUUUCACUUGAACACUUAGAGGCCAUUGUAGGGUUAUUAAUUGCCCUAAUUUCAAUAUUCUUGUGUCUCUGUGAAUAGGGAGACCUGAGGAGAGGGAAAGAGUCAGAGAAUGACUGCUGGUCAGUGAAGUCGGAACACCACACACAACAUUUACAGAUUAAGUUUGCCAUCUUAUAUGGGUGUGGUUCAUGGUGCUCCAAAACAAUUACAUUAGUAACAUCAAAGAUCACUGAUUACAGAUUACCCUAACAGAUAUAAUAAUAAUGAAAAAAAUUGAAAUAUUGUGAGAAUUACCAAAAUUUGAUAGAGACGUGAAGUGAGCACAUGCUGCUGGAAAAAUGGCACUGACACACUUGCUCAAAGCCGAGUUGCCACAAAACAUCAAUCUGUAAGAGGAAAAAUAUCUACAAAGCACAAUAAAGCAAAGCAAAAUAAAAUGAGAUAUGUCUGUAGUUGUAUCUGGUAUGUAAUUAGCUCUUGGAUUUAUUGCUUUAAUAAGUGUAUAUGAGUCUAUUGGUGUAACCUUCACUAUAUAAAAAAAGCAACACUUUCGUAACUACAUUUAUGACAAAGGACUCAUAUCUAAAAUGUAUAAAUAACUCUCAAAACUCAACAGUAAAAUAACCAACCAGAGCAAUAAGGAAAUGGGCAAAAAUAUUAAAAGACUGUUCACUGAGGAGGAUAUACAAAUAUCAAGUAGGCACACAAAAAUAAAUAUCAGUGGGUAAAUAUAUAUAUAUCUAUGAUAAUAGCUAGAAUUCAAAUUAUAAUGUCAAAUGCUAGUGAGGAUGUGGAUAAAUUGGAGCAUUCAUACAUUGGUAUUGGGAAUGUAAAAUGAUACUGCUAUUCUGGAAAAUAGUUUGGCUGGUUCUUUAAAGAUAUAAAAAAUAGGCCAGGCAUGGUGGCUCAUGCCUGUAAUCUCAGCACUUUGGGAGGCCGAGGCAGGAGGAUUGCGAGGUCAAGAGAUCGAGACCAUCCUGGCCAAUAUGGUGAAACCGCAUCUCUACUAAAAAUACAAAAAUUAGCUGGGUGUGGUGGUGCGUGCCUGUAGUCCCAGUUACUCGGGAAGCUGAGGCAGGAGAAUAGCUUGGACCUGGGAGGUGGAGGUUGCAGUGAGCUGAUAUUGCACUGCUGCACUCCAGCCUGGUGACAGAGCAAGACUCUGUCUGAAAUAAACAAACAAACAAACAAACAAAUUUACCAUGUAAGCCAGCAAUUGCACUUCUGGGAAUUUGUCCUACAAAAAUUAAAACUUAUGUUCACACAGAAUAUUGUACAUGGUUGUUCAUUGCAGCUGUUUUCAUUUGAAAUAACUCAAAACAAUAAACAUUCACAGUGUCCCUCAAUAGCUGAAUAGUUAAACAAACUGUGUGGUACAUCCAUACCAUGGAAUACUGCAUUGCAAUAAAAAUGAAUGUACUGCUGAUACAGACAACAGCUUGGAUGGACCUCUAGGGCAUUAUAUUGAAGGAAAAAAAGCCAAUUUCAACAGUUUACAUAUGUUAUGCUUCAAUUUAUUAACAUUUUAAGGAUGUUAACUUCCUGAUUUUGAUAUUGUACUAUUAUUAUAUAAGAUGUAACCAUUGGGGAAAACUAGGUGAAGCUUUCACAAGAUUCCUCUUUGUACUACUUUUGCAACUCUCUAUGAAUCUAUAAUUAUUUCAAAAUAAAAAGGUGGUUUUUUUUUUGGUAAAGUCAUAUUUUAUGCACACGCACACACACACCCACACAUACACACAGUUUCUUAUGGGAAAAUGUUAUUUUGAAGUAAAUUGGGAAUGUAGGCAUUUCAUUUAUUCUUUCCAAAAUCAUUUGUUUCUACUUUUGCAAGAUUUUUUUUCUUCUUCCUCCUCUUUCUCUCCCUUCUCCCAGUUCUUUUUUUUUUUUUGUAGGAUACUGAGAUAGCUUACUUUUCUUGCUUAGGAAUGCCUUCAUUUUUUGGAAAGGCAUUCUUUUUUUUUUUCCACCAUUUUCAACUCAAUUUUAGUUAUUUAAUUUUUCUGUCAUUAUAAUUUGGAUAUAUAACUUAUUUGAGAAGUGCAGAUCAUUUCAUAGCUAUCUCAUUCUUUUAUAACUCAAUCUUUUUGUUUUUUAACAGAUUAGAAACUAAAGCAGAGAAAGUUAGUGAUAGAAAGCAUGAAGUAGAGUAACAAAACUGAAAACAGCCAGUUGCCCUACCAACCUGUUCUGCGCUAUUCUUUUUUAUUUUUUACCAUACUAUAUUCGAUCCCAUUUUAUUCAUUCCAUUCUAUUUUAUGAUUUCCCAACCUAUAUAUAUAUUCCAUUCAUCCUAUUCUGUUCCAUUCUAUGCAAUAAAUAUUUAAUGAGUGUUUAGUAUGUGGCAGGUGUUAGUCUAUGUGGCUUGGCAUGUACCAGUCAACACAAUAGACAAAAAAUUGCUGCUCUUCUAAAGCUUACAUUACAAGAGGAGGAGACAGAAACAAAAUAGACUUAAUUCGUAAGUAAAUUUUAGAAGUUAGUGAGUGCUAUGGAAUAAAGAAAGAGUUAAGUAGAUGGGGGAUAUCAGGUGGGAAUGGAGGGAAAGUUACAAUUUUCAAACAGGGUAAGGUGUGAAAAACUGUAAGGAAUUUUGCCAUAAAUUGAUCUGAGCGAUGUGUUUUCUGAUCACUAAGAAUAGCAAGGCCAAAGGCACGAGGAUGUGAGAUGGCUGGAAUGUUUAAGAAACAGCAGGGAGAUCAGAGUGGCUGGAGUAGAGUGGUGAGAGGAGAGUAGGUGCAGGUGAGGUCAGAUAGGAAAGAAAGGUCUGACUACACAGGGCUUUUGAAGGUGUUGGUUUUUACUCUGAGCAAAAUAGCCAGCCAUAGCAGGGCUUUCAGCAGAAGACCACAUGAUCUCAAUUAUAGUUUAGGACCCUAGCAAUCCUGUUGAGGAAGACAUUGGCUUAUUCUAUACUCUUAGCUGUGAAGGUAGAGAGAAUUAUUAUUCAUAUUAUUAACAACAACCACAUACACCAAAAAACCCUCAGGAUAUUUUGAAGAUAGAGUCAAAGGGAUUUCCUCAUGAAUUUAAUACAGAUUGUGAGAGAAUGGAAGGGGUAAAAGAUGAUUCCAAGGAUUUGGGCAUGAGCAUCUGGAAGGUUAGUGUUGCCAACAACCAAUAUGGAGAAGAUGGCAUAUGGAGCAGGUUUGAGGGGGAAUGUCAGGAGAUCUUUUUUUAGAUAUGGUAACUUUGAUAUAUCUUUUAGACAUACAAGUAGACAUUGCUUGUAGGCAGGUGGGUAUAUGAGUCUGGAGUUCAUGAAAGAGAUCCAGGGCAGAGAUACAUAUCUGAGAGUUACCAGCACAUAGUGAUAUUUAUCAUGAGAUUAGAUGAGGUUACCGAAGAAGUGACUAUAGGUAGAGAAGAAGACCAAGAACUAAACUCCAGGGACCCAGAGUUAAGAAGUCAGGGAAUAGACGAGGAACCAGAAAAUGAGUCAAGAAGCAACUAGUGAGAUAGAAAACCUGACAAUGUGUGUCCUCUCAGCCAAGAGAAGAAAAGUAUCAAAAGCGAUCCAAUUACUAAACUGUAUCUCUUCACCUCAGUGCAAAUGUGUAUGAUGUGAUUCAAUAUCUUCCUGUAUCCCUAAUUUUAUUUUUAUUCUAUUUUUAUACUGGAAAACAGAAUCAUUUUUUGUUUGAAAUUUAGCCUGCUAAGAAAAAGUAGACUUUGUUGUUGUUGUUGCUUAAAUUUCAAACAGAAUCAACAUUGUUUAAAAUUGUUUUAAGAACUAGAUUUGGUGUUAACAGUUUUUCUGUGGUGAGUCUGAAUUUCCUUGAGCCCUUAUUUACAGCAGAAGGUAACCACUACACUUAUUCUAGGAGGCUGGAUUGAAAUGUAUUUUAUGUAUUAUUAUUUUAGGAAAAAGAUAUUAAGCAUCUUAUCUUUAUUAUGAUCACAUUUGUUAUUACCAGCAUCUUCUAUAAAUAGUACUUUUUGAGGCUACAUGUUGUUGUGGACUUGUGCAUUUUUAAAAGAUUAAGCAUUUGGCUUGGAAUUAUCAAGUAAUCCUGUGUAGUAACUGUGAUUAAAAUUAUGCAGGAAUUCAUUUCAAACUGUGACAAAUAUAUUGUAGCUUAUGCUCUUCUUAUUGAAUUUGUUCAUAUAUUUUAUCAAGAAUGUCAAGUAUUUUUACAUUAAGUUUAUGUAGGUUUAUAGGUGAAAAUAUAAAUUAUCAGUAAUGCAAAUUAUGAUCUUGAAAAAGUAGCUAGAUUUUCAGGUUUUCCUUUUUUUGAGCCUGCAGAAUAUUUGGAAAUUAAUUUGCAUUUUUUUUGGUGUGUAUUUAUAUUGUCUUUUGCUUAUAUUCUGCAUUACAGGAUUCUGAGUUUCCACUUAAUGAGUAGGCUUUACAGUACCCACAAAUUACUGCAACAAAGUUAAAAAAAAAAAGCACUAGAAGCCUAAUGAAAUGGACUGCUGAGAACAGAGCUGAAUAAACACAAGCUUCCCUUUUUGCAGUGACUGUUCCAAACUAAGCAGAAGCUGCUUCUUUAUUUCAGGGAAGGAAAAAUAAUGACCCGGUUUUCUUUAUUUUUCUGGUGAGCAAUUUAACUGCUACCUCCAUUUGGCAUAUUCUCCCACUUCUUUUACUGGAAUGGGCUAUAACUGUAGGUAUGGCAUUCUUUGCCACAAUGUAUAUUUUCCUUACUGCAGUGUGUAUUUUGAGCCAUAUUUACCAACACAGAUAUUUACUUUUUCUCUGAGAUGUGGUCUAGAAGCAAUUGUUCAGAGAGAAAUUCAACACUGACACUAGAGGUAAACCUGUUCCCGGCAUUUCAGUGUGUAUGUGUGUUUGUAGAAUUAUCAUCAAAGAGAGAAGAUUAUUCUUCCAGAUGGCAUUUACCUUAAUAAAAACUGCUAAUAUGCACAUGCUUGAAAACCAUUUCUAAUCCAAGUGUACUGGCAGCGUGUUAUUUUCAGGAGUAGUUGCAUUAACUCUUUGAACCUUUUAAAAAAUUAUCUUCUACUUUUGAACUAGGUCUUUUGACAGAUAAUAGCUGUCCUCAGUAAGUUAUCCUUUGAGUACUGUGCGUGUGCACCUUUGUGUGUAUUUGUGCUGUGUGUAAACCAUUGUGUAUUUUGGCAUGGCCCAAGUCAGCAGGAAGGCUCCAGGGCUGAGGCUGCUUUCAUCCUCUGUUACACCCUCACAACCUUCCUGUUUUACGAUAAUUCUGAAACCUAAUGCUCCUGCUACUUUUAACUCAGAACUGUGUUUAUUUGCCUGUGGCCUGUUUUAUUGUAAAAUAAAAACCUUAAGAACCCUAUGUUUUUAGGGUGCUUUUCCCCCCUCAAGAACACUGUGGUUGUCUUAAAGCCUAAAUGACUGUGUUUUAAUGAUGUGUAAAGAUUCAGUAAAAAAUAAAUCAUGGCAAUUUUGUUUUAAGAAGAAACUUUUAAAGGCAAUACAUGCUGCAGACUUCAAAAAGUCUAAUCAAACAAUUAAGAACAAACUGUACUUGUGUGAGCUUAUCAUUUUAUUCUGCACUUUUCAUAACAUAUUAGGUGUUAAGCUUCGAAAGAUUAUGCUUUAAUUCCGGGUAACUAUUGGUAGGGGAUUUAAGUCACAAUUAUUUAAACAUAAGUUUUUCACAGAUCUUGAAUGUCUCUGGGAAUUUUCUCCCCCUGAGGCAAAUAAUAGAGGGAAUUAAAGCUGAUUUGUUUUCUUUGCCAAUUGAAAUGAUGAGAUAGGUGGCUGCCACUGAUUUUAUCUUACCUAUGAGCAUCCUACAGCCUCUUUAUGUUCUGGUAAUGCCCCUGAUGGUGAUGCAUGGUAAAUAGUGGAGUAAAUUACAAGAGAGUUGUAGGUGUGAUGGGAGUAAUGGAAAAGUAAAAUGCCAUCUUUAUCCUCAAGGGACUUACAGUCUGGCUCAGUAUUUCUUAUGAAGGGAGUGUGGGACACUAUUGGCAUUUUAGGUAGGGCAGUUCUUUUCUUGUAUGGAAAUGUUCCACACUUUGUAGGAAGUUAAGUUUCUCUGGCUCCUGCCUAGUAAUUAUUAGUAGCACCGUUAAUUACUGUGAGAGUAAAAAAUAAGUCCAUAUAUUUAUCAGAUGUCCUCUAGAGAAGGUAUUAAUUCUAAUCCUUCUUCCUUAGAACAGUUGGAAGAUCUGAAAUAUACACUAUACACAUAAGAAGUGAUUAUAGAACUGUAUUGUCUAUAUUGUCGAAACUAUGUUAAAGGAAUGAUGCAUACCAUAAAAGCUAAGAAAAGACAGGAAAAAAAAAGGCUGGUUAGUUGCCUCUGGGUACACCAACUGGUGUUACAGAUCACUUUUUUUUUGAGACGGAGUCUCUCUCAUCACCCAGGCUGGAGUGCAGUGGCGCAAUCUCGGCUCACUGCAAGCUCCGCCUCCCAGGUUCAUGCCAUUCUCUUGCCUCAGCCUCCCGAGUAGCUGGGACUACAGGCGCCCGCCACCACGCCCAGCUAAUUUUUUGUAUUUUUAGUAGAGACGGGGUUUCACCGUGUUAGCCAGGUUGGUCUCUAUCUUCUAACCUUGUGAUCCACCUGCCUCAGCCUCCCAAAGUGCUGGGAUUACAGGCGUGAUCCACCACGCCUGGCCCAGAUCACUCUUGAAGAUCAUGCUGAUUCUUCUGCUGUGACUAUCCUCUUCUGUCUCCCUCCUUUUUUUUUCUGCCCUGGAUAACUCCUACUUAACCAUCAAGAUAAACUAAAUUGUUAUACCUUCCAAGAAGCCCUCAUGAGCUUUCUCUCUUCUUAGACUGGGUGGGAUGACUAUGAACCUGGUUCUUACAAAUCAUUAGGUGCAUCUCUGUCACUGUCUUCUAGAAUUCUAUUGACAUCAUCUGUUAAGGGGCCUUUCUAUCUUCUCAAUAGCUUCUGUGUGUAUAUUGCAGGCAGGAACUACAUACUACAUCUUUCUUACCUAGUUAAAUUCUAUGUGUGAAGUGCAUAUUCAAUUAACUGACCUGAACUUGGCAGAAACGUAUAAAAUUGUGUAGUUGUAUAGUUGAUGAAAACAUAUAAAAUGUAGUUUCAUUAUUUUUUGACAUCAAAUUAAAAUUCUGUUCAAAAGUCUCCUUUAAUAUAACUUUGCUCAUUUAAAAAAGAUUCUUAUGCCCCACUGUUGGAAAUAUAAUUUGGUACAAUGCUUUUGGAAAGUCAUUUGGCAGUAGGUAUCAAGAGAUUUACAAGUUCAUGGUAUUUGAUUCAUUAAUUCCAUUUCUGGGAACCUCUCCUAAGGAAACAAUUCUAAUUAUAGAAAAAGCCUGAUACACAAAAAUCUCCAUUUCAAAACUGUUACUAACAGCAAAAAAUUCCGAAGUCUUCAAGAAGUCUGGGGAAUGGGAGCUUGGUUAAUUAUUGACAAUCCAAUUCUAAUGGAUAAUUUUGGGACAAUUGUGGGGAACUGUGUGUGAAUAUGAUCUGGCUUUUAGAUGUGAUGAAAUUAUUCUGAAAUAGAUGGAGAUUAUUGAUCCCCCAAAAUAAUAUAGCUACAAUACAAUAUGAAUAUAUUAACUCAUUUUAGUAUACACAUGGAGACAGACACAAACACACAGAUGUGUAUAUAUGUAAAAGAUCCAAGAGGAUAUACUACAUCUUAGCAAUGCUAACCUCUGGGUAUUAGGAAUUGAUGUUGAUUAUUUUCUGUAUUUUAUUAUUUCCUAAUUUCUACAAUACCCAUUACACAGGUGUAAUAAUAAAGGAUAUUUUUAAAAAACAAGGAAUCGAAAAUAAUUUAAAAUGUUCAUCAGUAACAUGGCUAAAUUAAUCAUUGUAGGUCUAUAUUCUAAGUUAUUUCAUUAUACUCAAAGACAAUAUGAGAAAUUUUUAUAACCUGGCAAAAUAGUUGUAUUGUAGUAUUCAGUGAAAAGAGCAAGAUGAAAACCUUUUUACAUAGGUUGGUCUACACUCCAAAAGUAGAUCUCACAGUGAUUGUUUCUACAUGGUAAAAUCCUGGGAUUUUCUUUUUAUUUUCUUGAAUUAUUUUUCUAUAGUAAAUAUUUUUUUUAAUUGGAAAAAUAAAUGUAUCAUCAAAAAUUCUGUUAAAAAA
Molecule: long non-coding RNA, 13720 nt
Organism: Pongo pygmaeus (Bornean orangutan)
Lineage: Eukaryota; Metazoa; Chordata; Mammalia; Primates; Hominidae
Exons: 2
Source: RefSeq, a predicted model, not a curated record